GGAGUUUGUUGCCUAGAGUGAUGGGCUCCGAAGCUAACGCGAUAAAUCGACCGCCUGGGGAGUACGGCCGCAAGGUUAAAACUCAAAUGAAUUGACGGGGGCCCGCACAAGCGGUGGAGCAUGUGGUUUAAUUCGAUGCAACGCGAAGAACCUUACCUGGUCUUGACAUCCAUAGAAUUCUGCAGAGAUGUGGGAGUGCCUUCGGGAACUAUGAGACAGGUGCUGCAUGGCUGUCGUCAGCUCGUGUUGUGAAAUGUUGGGUUAAGUCCCGCAACGAGCGCAACCCUUAUUCUUUGUUGCCAGCGAUUUGGUCGGGAACUCAAAGGAGACUGCCGUUGAUAAAGCGGAGGAAGGUGGGGACGACGUCAAGUCAUCAUGGCCCUUACGACCAGGGCUACACACGUGCUACAAUGGCGUAUACAAAAGGAAGCGAAGGUGCGAGCUGGAGCGGAUCUCAUAAAGUACGUCUAAGUUCGGAUUGGAGUCUGCAACUCGACUCCAUGAAGUCGGAAUCGCUAGUAAUCGUAGAUCAGAAUGCUACGGUGAAUACGUUCCCGGGCCUUGUACACACCGCCCGUCACACCAUGGGAGUGGGUUGCACCAGAAGUAGAUAGCUUAACCGCGAGGGGGGCGUUUACCACGGUGUGAUUCAUGACUGGGGUGAAGUCGUAACAAGGUAACCA
RNAcentral lists this ribosomal RNA (683 nucleotides) under uncultured Enterobacteriaceae bacterium. RNAcentral describes it as "bacterial SSU rRNA". It matches the Rfam family "Bacterial small subunit ribosomal RNA", at positions 819 to 1502 of the family's 1533-position model. Lineage: Bacteria; Pseudomonadati; Pseudomonadota; Gammaproteobacteria; Enterobacterales; Enterobacteriaceae. The record is from RNAcentral.